UUUAUUCUUCUUCCCUGCUGCUCUUUAUGCUCUUACCCAAAUCCUAGGAUUCAAACCUUUGUUUAGGAGAGAAUCAAGCGACGGGUAAGUUAUUCUCCAUGUUCUCAACAGAUUUCUAAUCACUCUAUCUAGCUAGAGUUUAUAUUGGCACGAUUCUAAUGGUUGUAGAUCAUAAUGCAUGGUUUAUAAUAUAUUUAGGCCUUGUUUAGGGUUUUGAUUUAUUAUGAGUUUAGAUAAUCAAUCAUUGACGUAUUAAGCACAGGAUAAUUCUGGACAGCAUGAGUAUCUCGAAUUUAAAGCUAUAUUUUCUGAACGAAUUUUCUUAUAAAAUUUAUAUUUCUGGGAACUAGACAUGUAGGGAUUCUUGAUUAAAUUUUAUUUCAUUGAAUUCGAUUUCGUUUUGAAUUUUAUAUGUAUUUUCGAAAUAGAAACCACUGCACUGGAAAACUGCGAUUCCAGCAUUGCGAUCGGAUUCACAAGACUAUUUGUACCAUCAAAUGAACUCGGAAAAUUCUGAAAGUUUAUAUGUAGGUUAAUAUAUGCGUCUAGGAUUCCCAGUUUUAAUUUUAUAAUUUUCUGAUUAGUAUGUUAUUUUCUAAAAAUCACGGAACCCGUUCUGUUUGGUUUAGAUUAUGUGAAAACAGUUUCGAGUUUGCUGAGUAGUAAAUAGUUUUUAAAAUGUUUUUGACAUCGGAUCCUCUUGUAAAUUUUACAUGGGGUAUUCAUGGAUGUCCAGAAUAGUUCCAGAGGAUAUUAUAUCAUUCUGAGUUUUAGAUUAAGAGUUAAAAUUCUGAGAAUCAGACCUGUACGGGUAUGAAUUAGAAAAUCAGAUUCUUAGAAUAAGUCAUUAAUUGUCAUAUCUUGUAUUUGUUUAAGGAGUUGAAGGUGAUUGAGGCUCUUAGAAGCUUAGAGGUGUGUUAAUUCAAGUUCAUUUGUCGAGGUAAGUAACUUCAUUCCUAGCAUACUGGAUAUGUAUAAGUAUUUUGAUAUUGUUAUUAUAAAUAUAAAUGUUUUUAUACUACUUAAAGGGUAAAUUGAUUUUGAUAAUAAAAUUAGUUUUAUGUAAAUGUUUUAAAGCCAAAUUCUUUUUAACAAAGUAUUUUAUAAAUGCUUUUGAAUAUGUAAGUUAUUUUGUUACAUGCCUACUUUUAUGAUUUUAUUUAUAAAAUGUUAUGCAAGCCUAAAUUAUUGUUAUGAACUUCUAUAAAUCUGAUACGAAUGUUUUGUACCCAUGUAUGAUUUCGAUUAUUGAUGAUUGUAUGAGAUUCCUAAUGUUUUGGCUCAUUGUCCAUAGUUAUUCUAUUCUGAUUCUGAUCGUAAUAUACGAUAUAUCUGUCUGGACCAGUACUGGGUUUAUGUUCUGAGUGUGCACACAAUAUUCUGAUUCUGUUUCUGGCCGGGUCACCGGGACUAUAGGUGACACUAUGUGACAUGAGCUAACCUUUUUGUUUUCUGAAUAUGUACUACAUGAUUUUCUUCGUAAGUAAAUAUGCUUUUGAAUAUUCUGAAUUAUUAAGAAUUUAUCUUAUGUUAUCGUGAUAUAUCGUUUCAUGAAAAUUAUGGAUUAUGAUAUAUGUUUUAAACAAAAGAAGGCUUGCAAUAUUUUUGGUAUCGAUGGGCCUAGUGUGUUAGGCAUGGCUUUACUUACUGAGUUGACGGCUCACCCCUCGUCAUUACUUUUUGCAGAUUAAGUUUCUUUUGAGAGGUGUGCUUGGCUUUGGAGCUAAUAAGUUUCAGUUUCCAUUUGCCAUUGAAUAAGAGGAGGAAUAGACUCGUGUUUCUACUUAGUUAUUUCUUUUUGAACGUGUAAUUUGGAGUUUGAGACUUUAGUUGUUUUUAUUUUUUAUAUGUCCUCG
This 1856-nucleotide long non-coding RNA is filed under the name Citrus maxima (pomelo). RNAcentral's name for it is "long non-coding RNA (CMAX_LNC003256)". Lineage: Eukaryota; Viridiplantae; Streptophyta; Magnoliopsida; Sapindales; Rutaceae. The record is from RNAcentral.